CUUCCACCAAAGUAUUAGUCAAUGGUUUUCCCAGUGUUUCUGGAAGCAUUAUGGUUAAGAUUCCACUCAGAAGAGCCAUGAUUCCAACAAGCAACUGGAAGAAAUAAACAGUAGCUGUAAAGGCAUGUUCACAGAGCUACAAUUUCCAUGCCACCUGUAAUCUCAGUUCACACUCCAGCUCCUGUGUACCUGUACCUGUGUGCUUGUUCCUUCUCCACACAGCCAGAUUGGAAUUUCUCAAUAUGGCUCAUUGGCCCAGAGCCACAGAAGUGCACAUCUGUGCUCAAGAGAGCUCUUCAGCAUCUGCUAGCUCUCAACAGGAAUACUUUGCUAAAUUCAGUUUCAAAGAACUGUCAGGAGUGCAGACAUCUACUGACAUUUGCACUGGGAUCACUGGAUUUUGGAUUUGUCCAUGGUGUACACAAUUCCACAUCAACAGCAUAAGUGGUGCAAGGAUCAGAAUAAUGUGGGGUCAGUAGAGAAACACUCCCUUGUUCCAGGAAUAUCUACACUUUCCAUUCACAUUCCCUUCACCCAGACAUUUCUAUGUCUUGUUCAAUGACACCAAUUCCCACUUUGCUCCUCUGAGUACAGAACAGCAUUAAACCCCUGACAGUCCUCCAACACCAGGUUAUAAAUGACCUAAUUCCCUCCUGACAGAAAAGCUUUCACACAGAACAUCAUGCCUGGUCUCAGUGUUUUUCCAUUCUGUGACUGUGAACUUUGAUGCUGUAUUAUCUUUAUCUUUCCCUCUGCUGAUUCUGAAGUCUGUCCUUUGUUUAAUGCAUUCUUUCCAAGGGUGAGAGAGAACAUUUGGAAUCACUGUGCCUGUGUCUCUCACACAGAGCUUGAGACAAGAGCUGCCCAGCUACCAUCUGCAGCUAAGCCAGAUUUUAAGUCAGAAAGGUGCUUUAAAAUCAGAAUUCCCUACUGUAACCUUGAACAGUGGUAUUUGCCUGCCCAUGCACCAUGCUGGUUUUGCUUCUCUUCCAAAAAAAGGACAGUUUGUUUUGUGUAUUCUUUUGAGAAGCAAAAUGCACUGUUGCAUAUCUUCCUUUUUGCAUUUGCAAUAAAUAUAGAGCCAGACCAAAAAAAAAAAUCAAAAUACUGUUAAAUACUACAAACUACAGUGAAAAUAAAAGUCAUGGUCUUACCAUGAAAGUUAAAAAAAAUUUAAAAUCCUAGCAGUAAUAGAACUAGAGGAAAUGGCACAAACUGAGUGAGAUCCCUUUAGACAUGUAUGUGGAAGGAGUGAUAGUUAAAAAUAUAUUGCAAAAUAUUAAAAUCUCAUCUCUGAGUGUCAAAUUUCUUCUCUACUAUUCAGACAUGAUUUUCUCUCAUGGAAAGACAGGAUAAAUUGACACAUGGCAGCUAUUCCACAAUAUUCUCUUUUAUGUACACCCUUUAGUCUGUCAGAAGUUUAUAACUGAGGAUAUUGGGGUCUGUAAAGGAUAUUGCAUCUUAGGGACACCCAUAAAUUUGGAGUGUAUGAGAAUUGGGUCACUAGUCAUACUCAAAAGAACAAGCUUAAAGUAAAACUGUGUGCUUUGAAUAUGUGUGUCUUUUUUCGUUAUUCUUUUUAGACACUUGGAAUUCUUCUCAUGUUUUCCCUCCUCAUGAACCUACCUCUCAUUCCCCUGAGAACUCUCACUAUUCUGUAAGUGUACACACCACCAUCUUUCCUGCCUUUUCAUCUCAGCUCUCAUAACUCUAUUUCAUCCCAUCUUAGUUUCCUUUUUUUUUUCCUUCUCUAUGUGAAAGCUGCUGCAUGCUGAGUAAUUCAGUACAUUUCCUUCCCUGACCCUCGAACCCUUUUCCAGUAUUUCCUACAACAGACAGAGUAUGAAAUAAUUAAGUCACAGUGUAUUAAUUCAAGGACAUACCUUUUCAAGGGCAGUAGCCACAGUUAUCAAUGAAGGGACUCACAUUUAGUAAAAGCAACUUUUUGCAGUCUUGGCACACUUCUUCAUAAGUCAUCUGACAUAAUUUAACCCUUUGCUUGCUCACUACAAAUGUAUCCAUUUUGUAUGCAUGUAUUUACUAUUUUAAAAACACAAUUCAAUAUCAGCAAAUGUUCUGAUGUGGUCAAAUGCUUAUGUGUACAAAUAAAGUGUAUUUGUGUCAUUGUACAAGGUAUUUAAGUACGUUUAAGUAUGUUGAAGUCAAUUUGACAGAUAUACAUGGUUAAAUACAUUGUGUUUUCAGGGUGUUAAUUUGAAAUCUGACUUUUUGCUUAGUCAAACUCUUAGAGUGUUCCCAACACUUCAGUACAAACAGCAGCUUCUAAAGAUACCAUAGAAACCUUCCGAAAAUAUUUACCAUAAUUUUUCUUAUGUCCUCUUCCCUUUCUGGGACAACAUUUAUAAUUCUGCAGUGAUCUAAGACUAGAACUUGAUAUACAUACUCCAGAACAAAAGAUAAUUUGAAUUAAAUAUCCCUACAAAAUAAUGCCUUUACUUCUGAGAAUAAAUUAUUAUUGUAGUCUGCUAUUUAUAUUAUAUUUAUAUUUAUAUUUACAUCUGAUGGCUCUGAACCAAUCUAAAAUGUCUUAUCAAUCUAAAUGAUCUUAUCGACAAAAUUCCUACUUCAACAAAAAAGGUUAUAUUUUGACAUGAAAAACCAAUAGUAUUUGACAGAGGGUUUGUAUUCAUUUAUUAAUACCAGUGUGGGCUUUUUAAAUUUCUAAUUUAUAUUUUUUUCUGAGAGAAAAAUCAACCCUGUUAAAGAGCUAUUGCAACAUAAUUCUUAACAGCUGAGAAACAGAAAUAGGUUAUAUAAGGAGCAGUUGUUUUACUGCACAUUUUCUAUAAAGUUGUCACAUGAAAAACAUACUUGGCAAGUUAUUCAAUUUAUAGACUUAUUGAAGAUUUAUAGCCACUCAAGAUGCUUGCAGUACUCACAGGUGGCAUAGCUGUGCACGAGGCAGAGUGCCAAACAAACAGCAGCAGUAACUGUUCCACAGUGUGUGGUGUUUGCAAUAGAGCAGGGUGAUCUGUAUCAGUUUACUUACAAAUGUAAUCCAUUUGAUUUCACUUCCAUUCCAAAACACUUACUUGACCUGAGACUUGGCACGCUAUGCUCCAACUCAAGGCAAGCCUAUUUAAUAAACUGACAAAUGCUCUAUAACAGGAGCUAAUAAUGGAAACAUGUUCACUGUGAACUACUACUCAACUCUACAAAAACUCUGGAUAACUUUUGUACCCUGAGAGUUGUUCAUAGCUGAAAUAAUUCCUGUGUUUAUACUGCCAUUUGCCCUGCUCUCCAAAACAUCUGAGUACUCCCCCCAGCUGUGGUUUAACUGCAGCACUUCUGCACAGAUAAGUCUUAUUUCAGACAGUAAAGGCAAAAUGCUGACAAGAGGAAAAAAAGAAAUGUUCUCCCAUGACCACUCUGCAGUGCAAAUGUUUCUUUGUCUUUCCUGGGAUCAUAUCUUGAUAGAGACGUUGUUAAGAAAGAAAACAUUUUUAGGAAGUGGAACAAAAAAAUUCAUUUGUGGUCUCCUUCAUCCAUCCUUGGUAGUUUUUCAUCAAAGACAACCAAAAGUAAUUCAUUUAAAUAAUGAAAUGAGCUCACAAAAAUUCUCUGAAACAAUCUAUAAAUAAAUAUUUUUUAGUUGCCAAAUCAAAGGGACACAAUGUCCUUGUUUAGGAAACUCCACUAUGGUGGAUAAAAUUUGACUAAGAAUCCAGGUUAAAGAGACCCCAUUACACUUUCAAUUUCUGACAUUUAUAAUCUACAUAUAAGCAGUGCCUUAGUCACAGUGAAUUCUAAGGGGUUUUUGAAAGAAUUUAAACUAUUUAAAAUCAUUAAUAAACAUUACUUAAAGCUUUAAUACAGAUUUUGUAAUUCAUUUGGUUUUACAUAUAUAGGCAUAAUUUAUCCUUCAGGAGAAAAAAUGGAUUGAAUUGCUGCAGGAUUUCUAAGCAGGAAAUGCUUCAUAACAGAAAUGCAAUGAAGAUACGUGAUUCAUGUGUGAGCAGGGAACACAUAAAAUGUUUUGUCCAAAGUGGAUCUACUGCAAAGUGCCCAAAGUACACAAAGGAAUGGUCCCACCUCUCUUUUUUGGGUCAACUGGUGGUAAAAGACAAACCUAAUGGUAACCUGACCUGGUUUUGCUGGUUGUCAAAGUCACCAUGAAGCUCAUCAAUAUACCAUUUCUUUAUCUUUUCCUAUCUCAUUAAUUGUUUCAUUCUGUUCUGGUGAAAAACACAACAGGAGCUUUGGGGCAGGUGUGGAGAACAAAUAUAGUAAGCAUAACACCUUGAUCUUUUAGGAGGCUAUUCCAAAGGUGCAUCCCAAAGAAGCUGUGGAAAAUGUUGAGGCAUAAUGUAAGAAAAUCCAGCUACCUGUGGUGACUUCAGGAAUGGAAGAACCAUGCCUUUGAAAAAAAGUGACACUAAAUCAGGAGCAUGGUCAAAAACUGCUGGGCUUUCAAAAAAGUCUGGACUACGACACUUCCUAAACAUUACAUGCCUUGACCUGAAGUCAUGAUUUGGUGUCUGAUUCCUGCCAGGAAAGAUCCCAAUAAGUCUUAGCUAUCAGAGCUCUUCUGUUGGGAAAUCUGUUAAUUGGUAAUGGGAGGAUACACAAGCUUAUUUCCCAUGAGCCAGGAUGUGUCAGAAAAUAAUAACUUGCAGCUGUAAAUUCUGGAGCUGUAAAUCUGCAACUCAGAAUGUGUGUAUUAUCUUAACUGGUUGUCCAUGGGUUGAAUUAAUGGAAAUGAGAACAAUACAAUCCUAACCUUAUAAAUCAUGUCCAAGUAUUAAUUAAUAAAAUUAUGAAUUAUUUAAAGAGACUCAAAACAGAUGUUGGCAUUAUAUUCUGGUUUUGUAUUAAAUACAGUUUUACAAAGCCUGGGAUUGGGAGGCAGAUUGAUUCCAUGUGUUCUAAAAGCCAAAUUAAAAGGAAAAAGUUCAUCAUUGCUUUUGCAUUCCCAUGUGGUGACUGUCACACUGUAGUGUUGUGCUAAUGAAGGAAAAUCAGAAAACAACACGCCUGAUCUCCUUGUUGUGCUUACACUGUUAGAUGUGGGAUGGAACUUCACUCUCUACCCAGCAGAACUGUCAGUCAACAGGCUCCUUUAUAGAAAGACAUAAAUAACUCUAAACCAGCCUUCACAGCAAAGCACAGGUACAGAAAGUGCCCAGGACAAAGCUAAGUGCAACUGAGGCUGGACAUUUGAUUCUCAUAUGGACAGACAGGCAUGGCUGGGUGCUCUCUGAGGCAGGAAUAUGCCACAGAUGCACACCCUGAGGCUCACUGUUGCUUCUGAGUCCAGCUCUGAUGCUGGGUUUCAGUGCAUGGUUGGAGAUAACACCCAAGGAAGAACUCUUGGACAGGA
This is a long non-coding RNA of Passer domesticus (house sparrow), 5341 nucleotides long. RefSeq lists it as uncharacterized. The transcript has 3 exons. The record is from RefSeq and is a predicted model, not a curated record. NCBI's taxonomy places the organism in Eukaryota, Metazoa, Chordata, Aves, Passeriformes, Passeridae.